This is a long non-coding RNA of Lolium perenne, 352 nucleotides long. RefSeq lists it as uncharacterized. The record is from RefSeq and is a predicted model, not a curated record. NCBI's taxonomy places the organism in Eukaryota, Viridiplantae, Streptophyta, Magnoliopsida, Poales, Poaceae.
GUACUGACUAGCUUGUUCAUUUUUGCCAGCCGGGUCUGUGUCAACUCUCAUGGUCUGAUCAGGAAGUACGGGCUCAUGUGCUGCAGGCAGUGCUUCCGCAGCAAUGCCAAGGACAUUGGCUUCAUCAAGUACCGUUGAAGACUCUUCAUGUUUGUGACUGAGAUCUGUACCUACAUCAGAGGAAUGGAUCCUUCAUUCAAGGCUUAAUUUAUGUGCUUUAGUUUUUUGUUCAGAGUACUAUGCUAGUAAACUUGUUGAAGUUUUGGUGAGACCCAUGUGGUUGUUAAAGUGACUAUGUGAUCAAACUUGAAGUAAUUUCUGUAUUCGAUGACAUAACCCUGAUCCAACUUGG